GGCCCACCAGGUGUAUCAGGAUAUCCAGGAAACCCAGGUCUUCCUGUAUGUAUGAAGCAUAUAUUUAUUUACAAAGAACCCCACGGUUUUACUAGUGACAUCAGGUGAGGAUUAAUAUAGCAUUUAUUACUUUUCUGCUUUCUCCUAUUGGCAGGGCAUCCCUGGACAAGAUGGCCCACCAGGUCCACCUGGUAUCCCAGGUUGCAAUGGCACAAAGGGUGAAAUAGGUCCUGUUGGUCCUCCAGGUUUACCUGGAUUGGUUGGGUUAAUAGGACCUCCAGGAUCUCCUGGAAUUAAGGGAGACCCAGGUGAAGUGAUUGGGUUUUUACCAUCAAAUGUGCUAAAAGGUGAAAAAGGUUAUCCUGGCCUCCCUGGGCUACCAGGUAUGCAAGGAUUGCAAGGGCUCCAAGGCCCCAUCGGGCCACCAGGGAUUUCAGGAGUUCCAGGUCCCCCAGGCCCACGGGGUGAUCCGGGUGAGAAGGGUCAGAUGGGCUUGAGUUUUCAAGGACCAAAAGGUGAUAAGGGUGAACAAGGAGAGCUGGGCACACCAGGACCUGCCUCAUAUGACAGCAAGAAAGAGUACAUUCUCAUAAAUGGAACGACGGUGAGAAAAUAUUACUUAGUCCUUACAAUAUUGGACUCCUAGUUUCUUUGUUUAAAGACUGUGGGGAAAAGGUUACUAAAGAAAGACCGAGAAACCAGUGUUAUAAGCAAUCUAAUGCCAAUUAUGCAAACUUGGUCCAUGUUUUAACUGUCCUAAAUAAAGUUUAAUGCUCUUCCUGUAAGUAUCUGAAG
Molecule: long non-coding RNA, 795 nt
Filed under: Chrysemys picta bellii (western painted turtle)
Lineage: Eukaryota; Metazoa; Chordata; Testudines; Emydidae
Description: lncRNA (ENSCPBG00000005848.1)
Source: RNAcentral